Molecule: RNA transcript, 4381 nt
Organism: Oxyura jamaicensis (ruddy duck)
Lineage: Eukaryota; Metazoa; Chordata; Aves; Anseriformes; Anatidae
Exons: 8
Source: RefSeq, a predicted model, not a curated record
CAUUUUGGCUGGUGGUUUGUUUUUUUUUUAUGACUGUCUAUGGGACUUGAGGGCGAUUUGAGCUUGCCACCCAAAGGUGCAGCAGCUCCUCGCCAUGCCACCAUGGUCUGUUUGCAGAUGCUUGGCAGACGUUUUGAAAGCAAUUGCUGUUCCUGCUCUCCGCUACCCAGAAGGGAAAAUGGGACAUGAGAGGCAGGUGGGAGGCCUGUUGGAGAGGCUCCCAGGCCAGUUAUCUGCUGCAGGGAGCAGGGCUGUGCACAGAAGGGAGGAGGUGACUCUGCCUUGGGCUGUCUCCUUGCAAAGCAUCUCCUCCCCGAGCUGCUUUGAUGAUGAGUGCCCAUCUCAGACUGGCUGGCGCACUGGAUUAUCUGUCUUGGAUUUAGUGCAUCCUACCCAUCUGAAACAUAGGGAAUGGUUUUUCUCCUGUCAUCCCAGAGUGGGGGACUCUCACUGCCUGUCUGUCUGCUGCCUGCAGCAGGCGUCAGACAUUAGCAGCCAUUCGGCAGGGGCCACUGCUGUGAGCCUAAAGAGUCUGCGAGGAAGAGAGAAAGGGUUGAGGAGAGAUGGGGAAAAAGGGAAAUGAGAGAGACGUGCACGCUUCAAGUAACUCGACCCAAACUAGCCUGGCAGCCCCAUCCCUAGAAACCAAGGCUUUGAAAUGAGAAAUGUUUUUCGUAUCUUAAAUCUCAAGUACAAACAAUAAAAACCAGCCUAGACUGUGUUCUUUGAAGAGAAAGUACGAGUGACCUGAACAGUGGUUAUCAGCAGCGUCAUUAAGAUAAACCCUUAACAUGAUUUAAAGCAUCCGAAACUGAAGGCAGCACUUUCAGAUACUAACAAAAUGGUCUGACAUUGGGGAUGAAAAUCAAUAGUAAUCUGAUGUCACUAAAAAUACUCAAAAGUGUCCCAUGGCUGAUGGAGGUGAGAUUAGUGUAAAUAUUUGUAUUCUAAUCAGUGGCACGCGAGGGCUGGAGGCGGCCUUUCUGUCUAUUUAAUUAAUGGAGUGGCUUUUUAAAAGGAUCCUAAUCAUAUGUGAUUGUAUCUGCUUAUCAACAUUUUUGCUAAUUAGAUGAUAUGGAGGCAGUCACUCUGCUAAUUCCCUCAUCCAAACAGCAUAUCCUGCACAGAUAAAGUACAGUCUCUUUUUAAUAAGAAACAAUCAUGAGACAGACUAACCUUAAUGGUGCUUAUUAUCCGAGGAUCUUUGGGAUUUUCUCUUCUACCCACCCCCCUCCUUCCUUUUCCUCCGGUCGCUGCUUCAGUAUGCCAGAUGGAUGCGGAUGUGGUGGUCCCUGUCCACCCGUGCUCCAGGCACCACCACGUCUCCCUCUUCCCUCCCAGCCAGGCGUCAGGCUGGCAUCAGGCUGCAAGGGCAGGGGGGUUGAGUAGGUGGGGAUGGGGAAGAAAACACUGGGCACCCGGGAGCAAAAUUCCCCAAGAUUUUGGUACCUGGACCACUGCUGACCCCAUAUUUGUGGCCCCCAUCACUGAUCUUGCUCUUGAUACCCUAAAAUGAACUGGUCCAGAAAGGAGUGAGCAUCUCUGAGAUGUGGAUAUUUUCUUGUAUUAUUGUUGUUGCUGUUGUUGUUAUAGUUUCUCCUGUUUUAAAAGGGACUGGGGACGAAGGGAGGUCUCCCUGAGUAUUUUCUUGCCAGCCCCGUUGAUCUCAUGACAAGGCUGGGUUUCUUUUAUCUAAAACAUGAGCCGGAGACAUUUGUUCCAAGUCCUUUGGCUAUCCAAACAAACACAGGUCACGCUUCACCCCGCCAGUCGGGCUGUCAUCAGCUGCCUCCCCCCAGGGCAGCCCCACUCUCCCCCUGCCUGCUCCCAGAGUCUGGCGGGGAUGGGCAAGUGAGCCUGACCUCCUGGUGGGGGGACAGAGGGACCUGCUUGCCUCCAGGAGGAAGUUUGGGACUGAAAUUCUGUCACCCCAGGAUCAUCUGGGUGCACUGGAGGAGAGAGGAGGUAGGUGCCUGGUGUUUAGUCUGGGGAGGUUGUUUGCUGUUUUUGUAGCUGUGGGUGUUGAGCAAAAAAGGCUUGAAUGGUGUGGAUUCCUGCCUCUGCAGGCUGGAGGGAGGGCCAGUGUGUCCUCAGUGCUGAGGCCGGCGGCAGGACGGACAUGGGACAGCUCUGGGGAGCGCUGCCUGGGAGAGACCUGGGGGCUGGAAGGACGGAGCUGAAGGAGGACCCAAAGAACUGGGUCUGGUUCCAGCUUUUCUGAGCCUUGAGGCUGAACCCAAGGAUUGGGCAAGAGGACACAGAUUCUGGGUGGUGGUUAAGGGCAGGAACCUCCCCAGAACUGCCAUUUUUUGAGAUAAGAAGCCAAAGGGGAGGCCUGAUCCUACUUAGUGGAGUCAAGGGCCCUGGCAUGUUUUUGAUGUUACAUCAUGCCCAGGGCAAGACCUUACUCCAGUCUUGGAAAGCAUGAGCAGUGAUGUAACUUGUCUCCACGGACUCUGAUCCCAGCAGAAUUCAGAGCACUUCAGUUUCAUUGCCUGGGUCAUCUCCAUGUGUCAUCUACAAUAUUCUCACCCAGGCGUGGCUCCGCUGAGGUUGCACUCAGCGGUAGGGUUGGCUGGUCCUUCUGCUAUUCCUGCUCUUUGGCACGGUCCCGAACCUCCCUUCCUCUCUCUUCCACGCUCAGGAAUUCAUGCAAUAUUGACCGCCUUCCCGGAGUCGGUUCUUGUUGCCAGUUCCAUGGCUGAGGUCUACAGCUCGAAAAGAGGUGGGUCCUCUGGGCCAAGGAUUGCAUCGCGAGCCGUUGAGUCCUGGGGCUUAACGAGGCACAGAUAAGCAGCGUGCUUAUCAGGAGCCCGCCGCCGGGGUACCUGCUCCAGCCCCAUCAUGAGCGAACAUGUUUUUACCACCCAGCUGCAGGGAGCCGGGAGCGUGCGCGCGGCCGGGCAGUGCGGCUCAGCCGGUGCGUGGUAACUCGUGAAGCCACAGCGACUUUAUCACUUCGCAACAUCCAUACAUAGCCACAGCCUCGAGUCUUCUCAGGGGAAGAAAGGAUGAUGAGUUACUGUCCUGGGAUUUUCGCUCUGUCUCCAGUCAGUGGGAAGUGGUAUGCGGAGCAUUCAUUUAAUAAACCAGAGGGGAAAAGCUGUAGAUCAGCUUCUCAUUAUUUCAGUGCUGGCUCACGCCAUCGCUUGGGUUUGUGCCUGACAGUUCAGUGUGUUAUUUGAGGCCACUCGAGCAUUCUGCAGAAAUGAUGCCACCCUCUCCUUAAAGUGUGGGGUUUGUCCAAGCAGGGAGGGCCUGCCUCCCUUAGUAGUUUUUUUGGUGCCAAUUUCAUAUCAAUUUUAGGUCUCAGUGUGCAAAGGAGGUGCCCACUUUGGAGACUGGUUCCUGCUGAGAGCCACUGCUCCACAGGAAACCUUCUGGAGAUGGUUGUCGUGGUCUGAGACCUCUGGAGUAAAGCAACUCUAGGUCCUUCCACCAGCUUUCUGCAUAGAGCUGGAUGACCCCUGCGAGCAGAGGGCUGAGGAGAGCUCUGUGGAGGAGCAGUGAACAUGCCGGGCUGUUUCAGGGAACGAUGGAGAGUUAGAAACUGCUGUGCUUCUAGGUCCAGAGUGCACUUCUGGGCUGGCAGCCCUUCCCAGAGCAGAGGUGGGGAUGCAGCACCCCGUGCCGACCCGCUGUCCUGCUGGAGCAGAGCUUGUAACCGUGCUGUGAGCAAGCAGAGACAGGCAAAUCAUGGGGGCACACCAGAAGAUGCUAUGGGAUGCCUUUCUCCCCAGUCAAGCAGAUCAAGCAGCCGGCACUCACACCAUGGUCCUGGUUUGUGUGACUCACAACAACUGCCCUUUCCUGGACCGGGCUUCUGAAUGAGAGGAGGAGAGAGAACGUGUAACAGGCAAGAGCAGAUGAAACAGAGAUGAAGGAACAAGGGGGAGGAGGAAUGCAGAGAGAUACUGGUGGGCACUGCCAAAAUGUUGAGCACCAAGAGCCGGCCGCACACAGACAUGACCACGCCAUGGGCAGAGCACGGGCAAGGCUCACGCUCGGCAGGAUUUCCUCUCCGUGCUAUCUCCUCGCUGUGUCUUGCAAGUCUGCAAGGAAAUGUGUCGCCAAUAAUCAGCUGUCUCCAAACAGUUCAGCAUUGCUGGGGCGUUUGUGCUGGCUGCGCGUGGAAGGACUGAUCUUGGAAGGAAACUCCGUGUGAAAUCCCCAGCUUGCUCUGCAGAUGCACGUGCUGGGCCAUUUCUGGACAAGCUUUCAGCUGCCACAGGGGUGCUGGAAGAAGUGGGGAGAGCCCUGAAAUCUUCCCUGAACCGUCUCAGACGGACUGGACUAGCCUGAAGGCCACCAGAACCACAGCCCAGCAGCACAGUUUGGGACGCAAGCACCCCGCACAUGGCAUCCAGCUAUGCUGGGGGGG